CUUUUGGGAGUCUUAUUACAACAAUUAUGGAUGAUUAAGCUAUAUUUAAAAAAGGAGGAAAAAAGCAGUUCCAUGACCAAUAGCACUAACAAAAGCUGGAAACCAGUGCGAACAUGAUUACACAGAGGAAACUCAUACAGCUUUCAUCUGGCAGAAGGCUGGGAAGGACAGUUUGGUGCAAGGGUCAAACCCAAAAGCACCAAAUUUCUGCAAUGUCAUGUACAAGCAUGCCCUCCUCUCUGGUCUCCAAAAAUCUUGCUCUCUUGGCAGUACAUAACACCACCACCACAGCCCUGGACAAGUGGAGAUGGCUGCAGUGCCUCUAUCAUCAGCUGCUGCCAAAAGGAUGCCUUGGGAACACAGGCAGUCUCUUAGAAAAUGGAGUUGUUCUCAGGAUGCUCUGAUUCACAGGGGACCAGGCUGGCAUAUACUAGAAAGAACUGGGAA
Molecule: long non-coding RNA, 447 nt
Filed under: Anser brachyrhynchus (Pink-footed goose)
Lineage: Eukaryota; Metazoa; Chordata; Aves; Anseriformes; Anatidae
Description: lncRNA (ENSABRG00000004949.1)
Source: RNAcentral